CAAUAGCGUAUAUUAAAGUUGUUGCGGUUAAAAGCUCGUAGUUGAAGUUCUGCUCAGGCUGACCGGUCCGUCCUCUGGACAGGCAUCUGGCUCAGCCUUGGCAUCUGGCUCAGCCUUGGCACUUGACUGUGUGGUGCGGUAUUUAGGACAUUUACUUUGAGGAAUAAUAAGAUAGGACCUCGGUUCUAUUUUGUUGGCUUCUAGAGCUGAGGUGAUGACUCAUAGGGAUAGUUGGGGGCAUUUGCAUUUAAUUGUCAGAGGUGAAAUUCUUGGAUUUGCUAAAGACGGACUGCUGCGAACGCAUUUGCCAAGGAUGUUUUCAUUGA
RNAcentral lists this ribosomal RNA (326 nucleotides) under uncultured eukaryote. RNAcentral's name for it is "partial 18S ribosomal RNA". It matches the Rfam family "Eukaryotic small subunit ribosomal RNA", at positions 592 to 976 of the family's 1831-position model. The record is from RNAcentral.